GGGCCUUUAGCUCAAUCGGAUAGAGUACCUGGCUUCGAACCAGGGGGUUACGGGUUCGAGUCCUGUAAGGCCCG
This 74-nucleotide transfer RNA is filed under the name Candidatus Melainabacteria bacterium RIFCSPLOWO2_02_FULL_35_15. RNAcentral's name for it is "tRNA-Arg". It matches the Rfam family "tRNA". Rfam says of the family: Transfer RNA (tRNA) molecules are approximately 80 nucleotides in length. Their secondary structure includes four short double-helical elements and three loops (D, anti-codon, and T loops). Further hydrogen bonds mediate the characteristic L-shaped molecular structure. tRNAs have two regions of fundamental functional importance: the anti-codon, which is responsible for specific mRNA codon recognition, and the 3' end, to which the tRNAs corresponding amino acid is attached (by aminoacyl-tRNA synthetases). tRNAs cope with the degeneracy of the genetic code in two manners: having more than one tRNA (with a specific anti-codon) for a particular amino acid; and 'wobble' base-pairing, i.e. permitting non-standard base-pairing at the 3rd anti-codon position. RNAcentral also lists the same sequence under 1 other name. Lineage: Bacteria; Bacillati; Candidatus Melainabacteria. The record is from RNAcentral.